RNAcentral lists this ribosomal RNA (826 nucleotides) under uncultured bacterium. Its description in RNAcentral is "bacterial SSU rRNA". It matches the Rfam family "Bacterial small subunit ribosomal RNA", at positions 8 to 825 of the family's 1533-position model. The record is from RNAcentral.
AGAGUUUGAUCAUGGCUCAGGAUGAACGCUAGCGGCAGGCUUAACACAUGCAAGUCGAGGGGCAUCGCGGUUCCGGCAACGGGACCGGCGGCGACCGGCAUACGGGUGCGUAACGCGUGAGCGACAUUCCCGGGACCGGGGUAUAACCGACGGAAACGUCGCCUAAUCCCCCGUAACACCAUCGGGCGCAUGCCCUUUGGUUGAAAGCUCCGGCGGUCCCGGAUUGGCUCGCGUCCCAUUAGGCGGAUGGCGGGGUAACGGCCCACCAUACCUACGAUGGGUAGGGGUUCUGAGAGGAAGGUCCCCCACAAUGGAACUGAGACACGGUCCAUACUCCUACGGGAGGCAGCAGUGAGGAAUAUUGGUCAAUGGGCGGAAGCCUGAACCAGCCAUGCCGCGUGCGGGACGACGGCCCUACGGGUUGUAAACCGCUUUUGCAGGGGAGCAAUAAGGGGGUUUCGUACCCCCGACGAGCGUACCCUGCGAAUCAGCACCGGCUAACUCCGUGCCAGCAGCCGCGGUAAUACGGAGGGUGCGAGCGUUAUCCGGAUUUAUUGGGUUUAAAGGGUGCGUAGGCUGUGCGUCAAGUCAGGGGUGAAAUUCCGUCGCUCAACGUCGGUUGUGCCCUUGAUACUGGCGUGCUGGAGUACGGAUGCCGCCGGAGGAAUGAGUGGUGUAGCGGUGAAAUGCAUAGAUAUCACUCAGAACACCGAUUGCGAAGGCAUCUGGCGAAUCCGUCACUGACGCUGAUGCACGAAAGCGUGGGGAUAAAACAGGAUUAGAUACCCUGGUAUUCCACGCCGUAAACGAUGAUGACUAGCCGCCG